RNAcentral lists this long non-coding RNA (718 nucleotides) under Rattus norvegicus (Norway rat). RNAcentral's name for it is "long non-coding RNA NONRATT007179". Lineage: Eukaryota; Metazoa; Chordata; Mammalia; Rodentia; Muridae. The record is from RNAcentral.
UGAACUUUGCUGUGAGAACCAAGUAUCUAGGGUUCAGGCAUAGUACAGACUCUGAGCAGCACUGCCAUGAAGAAACCUGCAUGGGGCAGAAGGCUCCAAGACAUGGGGCUAGUGGUGGGGUGUUCUGAGAAGUGUGUAGGCACCUGGCUUUUCACCUCUGUGGUUUUUGCCAAGGUUUUGGGGACAGAAGACACCAAGGUGGCCUGAGGCUGCUUAAAAUUCAAUGAGGAGACAGUUGAGAUAGAAGUGACACAAGGGCUCCUGCUGUGUGUGUCACUCAUGGGCAUUAGAACCAGAACUUCAAGGUGGCCUCUAUGGUGUAUUCUUGUUCCCCUCUGCGCCUAUGUCACUUCCUGUUUGAUGCUGUCUGUCCCACCUCCCAUCUAGAAAUGGGCCUUCUUGCUUGCCCUCUGAGCACAGCACUUACACAUUCUGGCAACUCACUGAAAGUGUUUGACUUUCAUCUGUGGGAUGUGAAAAUGAGCAUGGGACUUCUAAAGGAGCCAGGAAGAUGGACAGAUGAUGCCACCUUGCAAAACAAACAUCCAUGCACAAAACACAAGACACUCCAACUGCGAAUAAUGAGCAUUGCCACAGCCCUUCAUGUGGCCUGGCUCACCUGCUCACAAAACUCCAAGCUUGCUCUUCAUGGGCAACGCUAAGGGCUAUCAAUCCCUGGGCUGUCCAGCACCAAGCCUAACACAGUCCCCUCCUCACU